RNAcentral lists this ribosomal RNA (505 nucleotides) under uncultured bacterium. Its description in RNAcentral is "partial 16S ribosomal RNA". It matches the Rfam family "Bacterial small subunit ribosomal RNA", at positions 28 to 507 of the family's 1533-position model. The record is from RNAcentral.
GACGAACGCUGGCGGCGUGCCUAAUACAUGCAAGUCGAACGCACAGUUUAUACCGUAGCUUGCUACACCAUAGACUGUGAGUUGCGAACGGGUGAGUAACGCGUAGGUAACCUGCCUGGUAGCGGGGGAUAACUAUUGGAAACGAUAGCUAAUACCGCAUAAUAUUAAUUAUUGCAUGAUAAUUAAUUGAAAGGUGCAAUUGCACCACUACCAGAUGGACCUGCGUUGUAUUAGCUAGUAGGUGAGGUAACGGCUCACCUAGGCGACGAUACAUAGCCGACCUGAGAGGGUGAUCGGCCACACUGGGACUGAGACACGGCCCAGACUCCUACGGGAGGCAGCAGUAGGGAAUCUUCGGCAAUGGACGAAAGUCUGACCGAGCAACGCCGCGUGAGUGAAGAAGGGUUUCGGAUCGUAAAGCUCUGUUGUAAGAGAAGAACGGGUGUGAGAGUGGAAAGUUCACACUGUGACGGUAUCUGACCAGAAAGGGACGGCUAACUACGUG